UUUUGACACACCCCGACCCGAAUCAGGGCAUGCUGACCGUCACGUGAGGGUGACGUAACCAUGUGCACAGUGCGGAAGCGAUAAUGGUAAGAGAUAUACGAAUAAAUAAAAACCGAAAGCUAAUUAAUGUGCACUAAUAAGCAGAAAGUGCUAGGAAUGAGAUACAAGUGUAAAUACACCUAAUCAGAGCGUAGAAAGUCUAGGUGCAGUCCAGUAGGACAAGUACUAGUUAUACAGUACCAGAAGAGGUCCUACGAAUAUUAUAUUUUGUCAGAACCACCGAGAUCCACAAAUGCCACCAACAACAAGUCUACCUAAAACCUAGAGGGACACAAAAUAGAAAGUGUGAGUGGGAAAAAAUAAAGCUUUUCAAAAUCAUUUCAUUAUUAAAUGCUCUAACCCCUCGUCGUAAAACAUGUAUAGUUUUCCCAGAAAUAGAAUAUAUAUAUAUAUAUAUAUAUAUAUAUAUAUAUAUAUAUUCAAAUCAUGCUUCACAUAUCCAUAUUCAUAAGUAUGCCAUGCCAAAGUAUAAACAGAAUAAGUAACUCAGUUGAAAAUAAAUUCAUGAAAAUAACAUAUUGGCUGGAACCCCUGCAGAAGUUUGUACGGCUGAAUUCAUAGCUUAUUAGUCAAUCUAGCCGGAGUCACUACAGGUGACCUAUACAACACUACACUGCACACGAGUCGAAACCACUGGAAGGGUCUGUACGACAAGACUGAGUGUAAUAUAGUUAUGCUCAAUGCUACGCUCUCAUGAUAGAUGUGCGAUAAAUCGCUAGUCACCUACGAGUCGGAACCACCUAUAAUGGUCUGUACGACAAGACUGUGCACCUAAAUUGGAUCCAAUGUGAGCAUAGGGUGCCGGAGGUGACAUCAUAAACAGGCCUGAACCAUAUCUCUAGCUAAAUCACAAUCACCCGGGGUGCAGGUUUAUGAGCUCUCAAUCACAUCUCAUAUUAUCAAUAUUUCAUAUAACAAAACAUAACUCACCUGGUAGUUACCUGAGCGUCCACAACACCAAUUCAUAUUAUGCAUCAUAUACUAAUUCAUAUGCUAAAUGUAAAUUUAUAUGCAUGGCAUUUCAAAGCAUACUUUCAUUUAAACACAUUUUCUAGGAAAAUAUCAAGUAUAUAAAUAUAUACUGAAAACCAAAAGCCCACUCACUGGUAUGUCGAAGGGUCGUAGCCCCCGAGUCGCCCUUGACUGCAAUCGUCCUCGGGAUAAGUCUUCUCUAUAUGCGAAACAACUAUAAAAACGUUAAUGUAAAGCACAUAACCAAUACUAGCUAAUAACUUCUCUUAUAUUGCUCAAAUGAGGUAUAUAAAUAUACCAUCGUGACCUACACGACUCCACAAACAUGCCCAAAUUUUUAGAAAAAUUUUCCGACCACCCACGCGUCGUCACGUGCCGCCCAAGGCACGGCCAGACGCGUCGCCCAAGCGCGGGCACGUGCCAGGCACACUGACGGUAACCCUAACGGCGUUAGGGAAUAUUCCGUUAAAUAAUAGCAUAUACCGUUAAAACUAACCUGACGCCGUUAGAAUAUUCCGUCAAAGUUGACGGAAUAUUCGCUCAUCUUCUUCCUUCGACUCCGGUGACCGUCGCCGUCGCCGGAAAACUGGUAAUUCGAAAAACCUUGAUAUAUCAGUCAAUUCUUAACCAAAUUACCUCAAAUUUGUCCCAAAAUGAAGCAUGUAAUUAGAAGAACAAAGUCUUACCAAUUUCAAGGCUUGAAAUCCACGGAAUCUCGACGGAGAAAACUCGAUAAUCCGGCCAAAACUUGAAACUCGCCAAACUCGACUUCUCGACGUCCAAACACUUCGUUUUUCUUCUCCGAGCUUCGUGAAGACGUUCUAAAGCUUCCUAUAACCUUGAAAUCUCUCAAAAACUCCACAUUAAUGUGUGCAUGAACAGUACCUCAAUUUGGGGUUCUUGGUUCUUACGAUCCCGAAGCUUUCACGUCCUAAAAAUGGUUUGGUUAAGAUCCUAAGGUUACAAGGAACUCAAACAUGGCCUCUAAAGGUUCGAUUUGCAAAGUUUCGUGAGGGUUGGAGUUUGUCCGUACGGUUCGUACGGAAAAAGAAGAGAAUCGAGAGGGAGGAGAGAGGGAGAGUACACGGGAAGGAGAGAGAGGGAGUUGGAGUGUGUGUGUGAUCCAAUUUUUUUUUUGACUUCCAAACAACCACAAAACCAUAACAACUUUAAGUCCUAAUUGGUUCCAAAAUAUUAGGGACUUAAUGUAUUAGUUCACUUUUAAACUUAAACCACACAACCACACAAAACGUCCAAGGGCAAUUUUGUCUUUUCACACUUCCGAGAAAAUAUUUCGGGACAAGCAUUGACACCUUUUUUAGCCCUACUCAUCUUUAUUUACUGCAGUCAAGCUGAAUAAAAAAACAUAAAUAAAUAUGUUUAAACAGGGAUGUGUAAGAGCAAGUCCACCCCUAAGGACUUUGCGCCAGCACCCAGCGCAUUUAUCCACUCAAUG
RNAcentral lists this long non-coding RNA (2488 nucleotides) under Malus domestica (apple). RNAcentral describes it as "long non-coding RNA (MDOM_LNC006908)". Lineage: Eukaryota; Viridiplantae; Streptophyta; Magnoliopsida; Rosales; Rosaceae. The record is from RNAcentral.